RNAcentral lists this ribosomal RNA (253 nucleotides) under uncultured bacterium. RNAcentral describes it as "partial 16S ribosomal RNA". It matches the Rfam family "Bacterial small subunit ribosomal RNA", at positions 524 to 776 of the family's 1533-position model. The record is from RNAcentral.
UACGUAGGGUGCAAGCGUUACUCGGAAUUACUGGGCGUCAAGCGUGCGCAGGCGGUUUUGUAAGUCUGACGUGAAAUCCCCGGGCUCAACCUGGGAAUUGCGUUGGAGACUGCAAGGCUAGAAUCUGGCAGAGGGGGGUAGAAUUCCACGUGUAGCAGUGAAAUGCGUAGAGAUGUGGAGGAACACCGAUGGCGAAGGCAGCCCCCUGGGUCAAGAUUGACGCUCAUGCACGAAAGCGUGGGGAGCAAACAGG